This 439-nucleotide long non-coding RNA is filed under the name Olea europaea (common olive). RNAcentral's name for it is "long non-coding RNA (OEUR_LNC013841)". Lineage: Eukaryota; Viridiplantae; Streptophyta; Magnoliopsida; Lamiales; Oleaceae. The record is from RNAcentral.
UCACAAGCAUCAUCCUCACAUGAAGCAUCAGAUAUAUCCAGCUCCUUAUUGAUAUCUGCAUCUGACUUUUCUUGUGGAAUUGAGCAGUCAGAAAAGUUUUUAUCCUUGUUAUCCUUGCAGUUCCUUUCAUAUGAAUCAGAGACCAAAAAAAAAAAAGAUAUUAACUAUUCGAUCCAUUCUUGCAAUUAAAAUUGGUCUACCAACAAAACUACUUGAACAUACAUUUCAUUAUUUUCCACCAAGAACAUUUAAACUCUUUAGUCACCGAAUUUUGAAGUAACCUAUCUCCAUGCAAUUAAGAAGAGUCGACAAGUAAUUGAUAUUUUGUAAUUUCCACCUAAUGUAAGGAAAUGUUUAACACCCAAAAAAUUAUGAAAGCUUUCCUUCAAAAUUAGUUCUGAAACUAAGCAGUAUUGACAUGUUCAAAAUUCAAUUAUAU